AGCAAUAUAGUGCACGAUCCCGGAUGCAAAUUUCUAUUCGAGGAGAUGACAAAGCGAACGAUCGUAGACGUGAAAGUGAUCGACACAGAGAAGCGUCGCCUUUCUAGCAAACAUUACGUUUACAAGAUCAGUGUGACGUGGUCAGAAGGCUCAACGUUAGUCAUUUACCGUCGCUACAGCAAAUUCUUCGAAAUGCAGAUGAAGUUGACGAGAGCAUCACAGACCCCAUUGUAUUAGAGCAAUACACGACCAUUGCAGAUUACAGAAAGCAGCAGAAGAAUGAAGUCAACUUGAAAGGUGGGGAGCUCAUUGAGAUCGUAUGAGAACGAAUGGUGGUUUGUUCGUGUUGAUUAUGAGCAGCGGUGGGUGCUUGCCUUGUACUUAGAGAAGGCAGAUGGGACAGAAGAGCCAGAAGGAAAGAGAUUAAAGCCAGGGAAAGAUAUCUAGACAACACUUGAAUGCACUCAGACUUACAAUCAACUUGCUUCAGAGUUGAUGAUACUUGCAGUGACGAUACCAACACUAACAUAGGAAAUACGAUGUUGUGCAAGAAGGACGCAUGAUGAUCAGAAGAGAUUAAUAAGUGUGACCAUGUGCACUCUACUCUUUGAUGUUCCACACGCGCAAAUUGUGAUGGUCAGAAGUCCAAGGCUUCGUUCGUACUACUUUUGUUUUGAAGAUGGCAACAGUUGACGCUUGCUUUUUCAAGUACCUUUGUCUCUCAGAUGGAACUCCACGUGCUGUGAGUUGAUAAAUUGGUGUGUGACAAUUUGGGAGAUCAAUGCAAAAGGGUGCUUUUCAGACAAUGACAUCUCAUCUGUAGCAAUUAGCAACAUGAGCUGUUGGACAGGAAGUUGGAAAGUGGGAGGUUGGUAAUGGGGAAGUAUUUGAGACCAUGUUUGGUAGAUGACCUUUUCACACAUUAGAUUAUGUGGAAAUGUUCUAUUUCAGACUAGAACGCAACUCCCCCUUGGAUGUGAGGGUGUGUGAGGAGGAGUAUAUAAGAGCAAGCUCACCAGCUCACUUCAUCAGUAUCGAGGAUAUCGGUCAUCAUCAUGUUUUCAUUUUUUGUGACAGUUCUUGUGCUCAUUCAAGUCAUUGCUACUUGUGGUGGUCAAAGUGUGUCAGAUGAGAGAAAUCAGCAGACAUGUAUGUCUGCUGGUGUACCUGGAGUACCUGGAUCACCUGGAGUUAAUGGAUCACCCGGACGAGAUGGAAUGAAAGGAGAAAAGGAAUGAAGGGAGAGAAAGGAUUAGUUGGAGAUGUUGGUGCACAAGGAACAAAAGGAGAAGGAAGGAAAGGAGAGAAAGGAAUAAAGGGAGAGAGAGGAUUAGUUGGAGAUGUCGGUGGUAAAGGUAAUGCUGGGAAGAUAGGUCCACAAGGUCCAUGAGGUCCGCGAGGGAUAAAAGGAGAAACAGGAAGGAAAGGAGAGAAAGGAGAAGCUAUGACACUCAACUGGAAACAGUGUGUGUGGAAUAGAGUGGAUGAUAAGGACAGCGGUCUGAUUCAGAACUGUAAUUUUAGGAAACAUGACAGCAAUUCAGCUCUACAUGUUGCAUAUGCAGGAAAUCUCAGGGUUUACUGCUCCAGUGGUUCUUGCUGUUCUCGAUGGUAUUUUACAUUCAACGGUAACGAGUGCAGUGGACCUAUGACUAUUGAGGGAGUUGUGUAUAGUAGACUACCUGAUAAUCCUCACCGUCACAGACAGAUUGAGGGAUAUUGUGAGAACAUUCCAGCAGGUCAAGUCACAAUUGGAUUCAACAUUGGAAACUGUAGAUAUACAUCAACAACGUAUAAUGGCGAAACAGGAUGGCAAUCAGUAUCUCGCAUUAUGAUUGCAGAAGUUCCUCCAUCACAAAAGUAACUGAAUUAGAGAGAAAUUAGAACUUGUGUUCAGUAUAGUUUGCAGUACGUACAGUACGAGGUAGCUGAAGUAGGAGGCUGGAUGGUGUGUGUGCAUGUCUUUAUUUGCUGUAUGUGAGUGUUUGUAUGAUUAAUUCAACGUGUAGCUGCAACUAAUAAUCAAUAUCAUCCGUCAAAGUUACA
Corticium candelabrum is the source of this 2046-nucleotide RNA transcript. It is a transcript of the gene named collagen triple helix repeat-containing protein 1-like, with no coding region annotated. Lineage: Eukaryota; Metazoa; Porifera; Homoscleromorpha; Homosclerophorida; Plakinidae. The transcript is spliced from 8 exons. The record is from RefSeq and is a predicted model, not a curated record.